AGUGAUAUGGCCGAGUAAUAGGCGGUAAACUGUAAAUUUAUUUACGAAAUCAAAUUUCUAUCACUA
This 66-nucleotide transfer RNA is filed under the name Schizonycha sp. SCH01. RNAcentral describes it as "tRNA-Tyr". It matches the Rfam family "tRNA". Rfam says of the family: Transfer RNA (tRNA) molecules are approximately 80 nucleotides in length. Their secondary structure includes four short double-helical elements and three loops (D, anti-codon, and T loops). Further hydrogen bonds mediate the characteristic L-shaped molecular structure. tRNAs have two regions of fundamental functional importance: the anti-codon, which is responsible for specific mRNA codon recognition, and the 3' end, to which the tRNAs corresponding amino acid is attached (by aminoacyl-tRNA synthetases). tRNAs cope with the degeneracy of the genetic code in two manners: having more than one tRNA (with a specific anti-codon) for a particular amino acid; and 'wobble' base-pairing, i.e. permitting non-standard base-pairing at the 3rd anti-codon position. Lineage: Eukaryota; Metazoa; Arthropoda; Insecta; Coleoptera; Scarabaeidae. The record is from RNAcentral.